RNAcentral lists this ribosomal RNA (253 nucleotides) under uncultured bacterium. RNAcentral's name for it is "partial 16S ribosomal RNA". It matches the Rfam family "Bacterial small subunit ribosomal RNA", at positions 524 to 776 of the family's 1533-position model. The record is from RNAcentral.
UACGUAGGCAGCAAGCGUUGUUCGGAGUUACUGGGCGUAAAGGGUGCGUAGGCGGCUUUUUAAGUUUGGUGUGAAAUCUCCCGGCUCAACUGGGAGGGUGCGCCGAAUACUGAGAGGCUAGAGUGCGGGAGAGGAAAGUGGAAUUCCUGGUGUAGCGGUGAAAUGCGUAGAUAUCAGGAGGAACACCGGUGGUGUAAACGGCUUUCUGGACCGUAACUGACGCUGUAGCGCGAAAGCGUGGGGAGCGAACCGG